RNAcentral lists this small RNA (88 nucleotides) under Soonwooa buanensis. Its description in RNAcentral is "Flavo-1 RNA". It matches the Rfam family "Flavo-1 RNA". Lineage: Bacteria; Pseudomonadati; Bacteroidota; Flavobacteriia; Flavobacteriales; Weeksellaceae. The record is from Rfam by way of RNAcentral.
UUUUAGCCCCGAUAGAAGCGGCAUCCUUUGGGGCGGCGUGAGGCGACGGAGCGGCGCACAAAAGAUAGAGCGGAUAGCGGGAAAAGCU